CCAAACGGCGGAGAGUGUUUUUCUGUGUGCAUUUUCCAAAUGACCCUUCACCUGGGUUCUGGCACCCCGCCCUGUGGCCUCUGCUCAGGGGACCGGCAAUGUCAGUCUACUGAAGGGGCAGGAGGCUAUCAGUUUACAAGAGAGGAAGCAGAGGAAGGGGAAAGAAAGCAGACAAAUUACUAAAUGAGGAAGCCAAUUACCCGGGGCACUAUACUUCAAGCUGUCAGCAGGCCACCUUCGGACAGAGCGGAUCAGAGACUUGGAGACUCUGUUGCCAUCUGGACUGCCCAACGAGACAAGCUAGCAGAUAUCCGCUGAUUAAAUCCGAGCUCUCAGGUAUUGUGUUGGCACCAUGUCUGCCUGCUUGAUGCUUGCUCCCACCGUGACGGUCCCAGACUCCAACCCCCUGCAACUGUAAGCAAGCCCCCAGUAGGCUCGUUCUAUUUGGUCAUGGAGUCCCUGCACAGCCACAGAAAAGGAACUGGGGCGCCGAGUUACGAGAUUGAGGACCACCUUCACUCAGUAAUGUAAUUUCUUAGAAUAGCUAGCUGAUACCAGCAGGAAGAAAACCCUUCCAAAGCCCGAGACCGUUGUCAACCACUCAGGCUAAACCAGAGACUUCGAAGGUCUUAAGCCCUGUGGCUAUUUUUAACCACCUUAGCUGGUUAUCUCUGUCACUUGUCACGACCAGCAGGCUCUCUCACUUCAGCGAGAGACUAAGGAAUAGGUGGACUCUCUAGUCUCUUCCAUUGAAACAGAAGACCCCGGGAGCUCCCCCACGAAUACAACAUGCAGCUUCUCAGCAUAAACAAGGGGUGAAGCAGGGGUUCUGCUUAGAAGAGAUGGAGCCAGGUUAAUUCUGGAGCCUAAACACAGAGCCUGAACACUGAAUCAGCCUCAGCCCUAUUGACCAAUGGUGGCUUGAAGGAAGAAACACGCAGGAAGAUGUGAAGAUCGGACCUCCGCAGAAAACUGAGGCAAGCCAAACCUAAUGGUAUGGAGGUGUCCAAAAAGGCCAAAUAAA
Psammomys obesus (fat sand rat) is the source of this 1024-nucleotide long non-coding RNA. RefSeq lists it as uncharacterized. Lineage: Eukaryota; Metazoa; Chordata; Mammalia; Rodentia; Muridae. The transcript has 3 exons. The record is from RefSeq and is a predicted model, not a curated record.